CAAAAGUUUGGUCCUGACUUUACUAUCAACUGUAGCUAAAUUUACACAUGCAAGUAUCCGCACCCCUGUGAAAAUGCCCUAUCGUUCUCCCACUGAGAAUAAGGAGCUGGUAUCAGGCACAUGCAACCAUCAUAGCCCACGACACCUCGCUUAGCCACACCCCCAAGGGAACUCAGCAGUGAUAAACAUUAAGCAAUAAGUGAAAACUUGACUUAGUUAUGGCUAAAAGGGUCGGUUAAACUCGUGCCAGCCACCGCGGUUAUACGAGAGACCCGAGCUGAUAGUUAAUCGGCGUAAAGAGUGGUUAAGAAAAACUACACACUAAAGCCGAACACUUUCAAAGCUGUUAUACGCACCCGAAAGUAAGAAGCCCAACUACGAAAGUGGCUUUACACCUCUGAGCCCACGAAAGCUAUGAAACAAACUGGGAUUAGAUACCCCACUAUGCCUAGCCCUAAACAUUAAUAGCACUUUACAUCCGCUAUUCGCCCGGGUACUACAAGCAUUAGCUUAAAACCCAAAGGACUUGGCGGUGCUUAAGAUCCACCUAGAGGAGCCUGUUCUAGAACCGAUAACCCCCGUUCAACCUCACCCUCUCUUGUUACCCCAGCCUAUAUACCGCCGUCGUCAGCCUACCCUAUGAAGGAAAAAUAGUAAGCAAAAUUGGUACAACCCAAAACGUCAGGUCGAGGUGUAGCGCAUGAAAGGGAAAGAAAUGGGCUACAUUCACUACUGUAGUGAACACGGAUGACACACUGAAACGUGUGUCCGAAGGAGGAUUUAGCAGUAAGCAAAAAAUAGAGUGUUUUGCUGAAACUGGCCCUAAAGCGCGCACACACCGCCCGUCACCCUCCCCCAACACACCCAACUAAAUAUCUAAUACCUGAACUACAACCAAGGGGAGGCAAGUCGUAACAUGGUAAGUGUACCGGAAGGUGUACUUGGAGAAAU
Molecule: non-coding RNA, 951 nt
Filed under: Channa lucius
Lineage: Eukaryota; Metazoa; Chordata; Actinopteri; Anabantiformes; Channidae
Description: 12S ribosomal RNA
Rfam family: Bacterial small subunit ribosomal RNA
Source: RNAcentral